Molecule: ribosomal RNA, 489 nt
Filed under: uncultured bacterium
Lineage: Bacteria
Description: partial 16S ribosomal RNA
Rfam family: Bacterial small subunit ribosomal RNA
Source: RNAcentral
ACUCAAAGGAAUUGACGGGGGCCCGCACAAGCAGCGGAGCGUGUGGUUUAAUUCGAUGCAACGCGCAGAACCUUACCCAGGCUUGACAUGGCGGCAGUAGUCCCGGGAAACCGGGGCGACUCGUCGAGGCGAGCACCGUCACAGAUGCUGCAUGGCUGUCGUCAGCUCGUGCCGUGAGGUGUUGGGUUAAGUCCCGCAACGAGCGCAACCCUCGUCGCCAGUUACCUUUUCUGGCGAGACCGCCGGGAUCAACCCGGAGGAAGGUGGGGAUGACGUCAAGUCAGCACGGCUCUUACGUCUGGGGCUACACACACGCUACAAUGGGCGGUACAAUGGGCGGCGAAGGGGCGACCCGGAGCGAAUCCCACCAAAGCCGUCCUCAGUUGGGAUCGGAGGCUGCAACUCGCCUCCGUGAACGCGGAGUUGCUAGUAACCGCAGGUCAGCACACUGCGGUGAAUACGUUCCCGGGCCUUGUACACACCGCCCGU